CACACGACUCUCGGCAACGGAUAUCUCGGCUCUCGCAUCGAUGAAGAACGUAGCGAAAUGCGAUACCUGGUGUGAAUUGCAGAAUCCCGCGAACCAUCGAGUCUUUGAACGCAAGUUGCGCCCGAGGCCACUCGACCGAGGGCACGCCUGCCUGGGCGUCACGC
This 164-nucleotide ribosomal RNA is filed under the name Pseudoroegneria libanotica. Its description in RNAcentral is "Elymus libanoticus 5.8S ribosomal RNA". It matches the Rfam family "5.8S ribosomal RNA". From Rfam's summary of the family: 5.8S ribosomal RNA (5.8S rRNA) is a component of the large subunit of the eukaryotic ribosome. It is transcribed by RNA polymerase I as part of the 45S precursor that also contains 18S and 28S rRNA. Functionally, it is thought that 5.8S rRNA may be involved in ribosome translocation. The record is from RNAcentral. RNAcentral also lists the same sequence under 3 other names. Lineage: Eukaryota; Viridiplantae; Streptophyta; Magnoliopsida; Poales; Poaceae.